GACAACAGGGAUUGCCCCAGUAACGGCGAGUGAAGCGGCAAUAGCUCAAAUUUGAAAUCUGGCUCUUUCAGGGUCCGAGUUGUAAUUUGCAGAGGGCGCUUUGGCGUCGGCAGCAGCCUAAGUUCCUUGGAACAGGUCAUCAUAGAGGGUGAGAAUCCCGUAUGUGGCUGCUUGUCUUCACCGUGUAAAGCCCCUUCGAUGAGUCGAGUUGUUUGGGAAUGCAGCUCUAAAUGGGAGGUAAAUUUCUUCUAAAGCUAAAUAUUGGCCAGAGACCGAUAGCGCACAAGUAGAGUGAUCGAAAGAUGAAAAGCACUUUGGAAAGAGAGUCAAAAAGCACGUGAAAUUGUUGAAAGGGAAGCGCUUGCAGCCAGACGUGCCCGCAGUUGCUCAUCCGGGGUUCUCCCCGGUGCACUCUUCUGUGGGCAGGCCAGCAUCAGUCCGGGCGGUUGGAGAAAGACCUGUGUCAUGUAGCUCUCUUCGGGGAGUGUUAUAGGGCAGGUGGAAUGCAACCAGCCUGGACUGAGGUCCGCGCAUCUGCUAGGAUGCUGGCGUAAUGGCUGUAAGCGGCCCGUCUUGAAACACGGACCAAGGAGUCUAACAUCUAUGCGAGUGUUUGGGUGUCAAGCCCGAGCGCGUAAUGAAAGUGAACGGAGGUGGGAACCCCUCGGGGUGCACCAUCGACCGAUCCUGAUGUCUUCGGAUGGAUUUGAUUAAGAGCAUAGCUGUUGGGAGCCGAAAGAUGGUGAACUAUGCCUGAAUAGGCUGAGGCCAAAGAAAACUCU
This 782-nucleotide ribosomal RNA is filed under the name Aposphaeria corallinolutea. RNAcentral's name for it is "eukaryotic LSU rRNA". It matches the Rfam family "Eukaryotic large subunit ribosomal RNA", at positions 56 to 865 of the family's 3401-position model. Lineage: Eukaryota; Fungi; Ascomycota; Dothideomycetes; Pleosporales; Lophiostomataceae. The record is from RNAcentral.